RNAcentral lists this ribosomal RNA (199 nucleotides) under uncultured bacterium. Its description in RNAcentral is "partial 16S ribosomal RNA". It matches the Rfam family "Bacterial small subunit ribosomal RNA", at positions 328 to 539 of the family's 1533-position model. The record is from RNAcentral.
ACGCUCGACACCUACGGGAGGUAGCAGUGGGGAAUAUUGCACAAUGGAGGAAACUCUGAUGCAGCGACGCCGCGUGAGCGAAGAAGUAUUUCGGUAUGUAGAGCUCUAUCAGCAGGGAAGAAAAAGGACGGUACCUGACUAAGAAGCUCCGGCUAAAUACGUGCCAGCAGCCACGGUAAUCUGAGCGGGCUGGCAAGGC